RNAcentral lists this ribosomal RNA (500 nucleotides) under uncultured bacterium. RNAcentral describes it as "partial 16S ribosomal RNA". It matches the Rfam family "Bacterial small subunit ribosomal RNA", at positions 28 to 507 of the family's 1533-position model. The record is from RNAcentral.
GACGAACGCUGGCGGCGUGCCUUAUACAUGCAAGUCGAGCGGACUUUCCGGUUUGGUUGCUCUCCAGUAGGGUAGCGGCGGACGGGUGAUUAACACGUAGGCAACCUUCCCGGAUGACCCGGCUAACAUUCUGAAACUAAUGCUAAUACCGUAUGGACGGACCUCUCGCAUGAGGGGAUCGGGAAAGGCGUAGCAAUCUUCCGCCUAUGGAUGGCCCUGCGGCGCAUUAGCUGGUUGGUGGGGUAACGGCCUACCAAGGCGACGAUGCGUAGCCGACCUGAGAGGGUGAUCGGCCACACUGGGACUGAGACACGGCCCAGACUCCUACGGGAGGCAGCAGUAGGGAAUCUUCCGCAAUGGACGCAAGUCUGACGGAGCAACGCCGCGUGAGUGAGGAAGGCCUUCGGGUCGUAAAGCUCUGUUGCCAGGGAAGAACGGGUAGGGGAGUAAAUGCCCUUGCAAUGACGGUACCUGCGAAGAAAGCACCGGCUAACUACGUG